RNAcentral lists this ribosomal RNA (503 nucleotides) under uncultured bacterium. Its description in RNAcentral is "bacterial SSU rRNA". It matches the Rfam family "Bacterial small subunit ribosomal RNA", at positions 30 to 526 of the family's 1533-position model. The record is from RNAcentral.
AUUGAACGCUGGCGGCAGGCCUAACACAUGCAAGUCGAGCGGUAGAGAGAAGCUUGCUUCUCUUGAGAGCGGCGGACGGGUGAGUAAUGCCUAGGAAUCUGCCUGGUAGUGGGGGAUAACGUUCGGAAACGGACGCUAAUACCGCAUACGUCCUACGGGAGAAAGCAGGGGACCUUCGGGCCUUGCGCUAUCAGAUGAGCCUAGGUCGGAUUAGCUAGUUGGUGAGGUAAUGGCUCACCAAGGCGACGAUCCGUAACUGGUCUGAGAGGAUGAUCAGUCACACUGGAACUGAGACACGGUCCAGACUCCUACGGGAGGCAGCAGUGGGGAAUAUUGGACAAUGGGCGAAAGCCUGAUCCAGCCAUGCCGCGUGUGUGAAGAAGGUCUUCGGAUUGUAAAGCACUUUAAGUUGGGAGGAAGGGCAGUAAAUUAAUACUUUGCUGUUUUGACGUUACCGACAGAAUAAGCACCGGCUAACUCUGUGCCAGCCGCCGCCGUAACAC